RNAcentral lists this ribosomal RNA (253 nucleotides) under uncultured bacterium. RNAcentral describes it as "partial 16S ribosomal RNA". It matches the Rfam family "Bacterial small subunit ribosomal RNA", at positions 524 to 776 of the family's 1533-position model. The record is from RNAcentral.
UACGAAGGGGGCUAGCGUUGUUCGGAAUUACUGGGCGUAAAGCGCGCGUAGGCGGCUUUGUAAGUUAGAGGUGAAAGCCCGGAGCUCAACUCCGGAACUGCCUUUAAGACUGCAUCGCUAGAAUUGUGGAGAGGUAAGUGGAAUUCCGAGUGUAGAGGUGAAAUUCGUAGAUAUUCGGAAGAACACCAGUGGCGAAGGCGACUUACUGGACACAUAUUGACGCUGAGGUGCGAAAGCGUGGAGAGCAAACAGG